This 72-nucleotide microRNA precursor is filed under the name Myotis lucifugus (little brown bat). RNAcentral describes it as "mir-9193 microRNA precursor family". It matches the Rfam family "mir-9193 microRNA precursor family". The record is from Rfam by way of RNAcentral. Lineage: Eukaryota; Metazoa; Chordata; Mammalia; Chiroptera; Vespertilionidae.
CUCAGGGGGGGGGUCCCUCAGCCUGGAUGGCGAGAGGGUGCAGGCCAGGCCGAGGGAUGCCACCGGUGCAUG